Non-coding RNA from Castor canadensis (American beaver), 2395 nucleotides. The record is from RefSeq and is a predicted model, not a curated record. Lineage: Eukaryota; Metazoa; Chordata; Mammalia; Rodentia; Castoridae.
GGGGACUGUCGUCUUCAUGGUGGAGGCUCAGCGACUCCCAAAUUCAGGGAUGUCUCAUGGUAGGAGAGGCAGGAAAGCAAAGUUCUUGAGACAGAACCAGGCUGGACUUGAACUUGGGACAACGUCCUCAGCCAUGAUGCCCUUGCCAUGGCUCUCUGCUCCCUGGAAGCUCCCUGAUGCCUGGCUCAAGCUGAGGCCUGGGCCUGGUACCCCCCACACCCGCGGAAGCCUGACGUGAGCUCGGCCACCUCCUCUACCCACGUGAACCUGGGGCAUCAUUUGACUCUCCAGCCCUCAGCCUCUCCAUCUGGAAAGUGGGCACAGCACGAACCCCUCCACACGGAAGAGCUGCAGGGCUGGUACCAGGAAGCGUCCAGGACCGGGUCCACCCCACAGCCCUGAGGCAGCUGUGCUGUCCCCAUUUCACAGAUGGGCAAACGGAGGCAAUCUUGCAGCUGCCAGAUUGCUCCCUGUGUUCCCUUGGCAUGCUGGGGGAGGUGGCGGGCCUGCAAUCCUGUGACCGCCUCCCUGUGUCCCCUCAUGGACCUGUGAGAAUCCUUCCAUGCCCAGCCCCUUCCUCAGAGAGAGCUGAGGUGGAAGUGGGCACACUUCCUGCCAGGUGAGAUGGCAAGAGGGCGGUGUGGGCAGAAGGAACAGGUAGAACAAAGGCCUGGAGGCCAGGUGAUGCUGUCAGUGGGCAGGGUUACACUUUGGGGUUGGAAUUUCAGCCUGCUAUCUUUGCUGUGUGACCUCAGGUAGCUGAUUGGACAUCUCUGAUCUCCGACUCUCACCUGUAGAAUGGGUGCAAGAGAAGAAAACCUUCUGCAGGGGGUUGUUGGGAAGAGAUGGUGCCUGGCAAGUAAUAAUAAUCCUCAGGAGAGGCUGUUUUUAUUCAUAGCCAUUUCUUCCAGGAAGCCUGCCCUGACCUCUUCUGGCUCUCAGGGUCACCUGUGCUCUCCCCAUGCAUAACGUGGGAACUUGUCUUAUGCACGCCGGGCUCAUGUCCCCACCUGAGGCCUGGGGCUCCCAUGAGGCCUGCAUCCCAGAGCACAGAACUUUGCACACAAGUCUUUGUGUAGCGUCUUCCUCCUCCUGGAGUCUCGGCUGCACCCACACCUGCCCGUGGGCAGCUGCAGAAGCAGCCGGAGCACGAGCGCAGAGGGAAGAAGAGAGGCGGCCAUGAUAGUUUGUACUUCCUGGGUUCCAGGCUACACGCCAGUCUUCUAUUCAGCCUUCCUGGCAAGUCAGCACUCCGUGGUUUCCGUUUCACAGAUGGGGAGACUGAGGCACAGAGAAGUGAGGUGGCUUACCCAAGUCACAAAGCAGUGAGGGGCAGGGCCUCUUGGAGGAGCCACUUGCCCCUCCCUGGACGAACAUGCUGUGCCCACUUCACAGAUGGAAACUGAGGCUCCGACACACAUAUGCCUGUCCAUGUCUGCACAGAGACAUGGCUGGGGGAGGUGCCCAAGGUGGCCCCCGGUGUCCCAGGUGGGGGUCCCUGCGGGAGAGGUGGAGACCCCAGCUGCCCCUGCCUGUGGGUGUCUCUGGCUACUACCCCAGCCUCUGUUUACCCAGCCUGACACCCAGGGCGCUGUUCUUCCUCCCGCCGGAGUCUCAGCUCAGGCACCUCCACAAUGGCGUCCUCUGUCUGCAGCUGGUUUUCAUUCAAGCCCUUUGUGCCGAAAAUAAAAGAAAAAAAAAAAAGAGAAAGAAACUUGGCUCCACUCCACCGCUUCACUUCCUGGUGUCUUUCCCUUGUUCUGAGGCCCAGAGACACCCACAGCCUGUCCAACGGUCACACAGCCUGUCGGAGCUGGAUCCCAGGCUUGGGCUCCCCGUCCAGGGCUCUGCCUCUCUCUGUCCCACAUCUGCUGCUCUCGACCUGGCCUUGAGGUCUGAGGAGAGUAAAGGAUGUGGGACAGACCCUUCCUCAAGCUUUCUACCUGCGCUCCAUGCUUCCCCAAAUUCCUGGAGUCCUCUAGGAACCCUGAAGGGUCCUGCCAUCCGCUUAACCAGCGAGGAAAACGGUCAGGGAGGUGAAGGCCAGGUCACACGGUUGAGAAGUGGCAGAGCUGGGAGCCAAGUGCCUGUGCCCACAGCUGGGCGGCCACUGCAGGUGGCACCUUGUUAGGCCCUGGGGUGGCCCCGGCUGCGCUGGUGGGGGAUCCCAGAGGGAAGUGGGAGCCGGGGCGGGGACAGGCCCUGGACCUGUGCCAAGCAGAAACAAUGGGGCCUCAGAGAUGGUGGUGGCCGGGUGGGGCACCAGCCAGCCAGGGGCCACAGGGCGAGGCAGUGGGACGACCAGGAGGCUUCCUGCUGUCAGCCUCCUGCAGCUUGGGACCAGGGUGCUCCAGGGCUCUCCGUUCCCAACCUGAAUGGACACAGGGCCCCGGCA